UGGGGAAUAUUGGGCAAUGGGCGAAAGCCUGACCCAGCAACGCCGCGUGAAGGAAGAAGGUCUUCGGAUUGUAAACUUCUUUUAUGAGGGACGAAGGACGUGACGGUACCUCAUGAAUAAGCCACGGCUAACUACGUGCCAGCAGCCGCGGUAAUACGUAGGGAGCAAGCGUUAUCCGGAAUUACUGGGUGUAAAGGGAGUGUAGGCGGGACUGUAAGUCAGAUGUGAAAUAUGCCGGCUCAACUGGCAGACUGCAUUUGAAACUGUGGUUCUUGAGUGAAGUAGAGGUAAGUGGAAUUCCUGGUGUAGCGGUGAAAUGCGUAGAUAUCAGGAGGAACAUCAGUGGCGAAGGCGGCUUACUGGGCUUUAACUGACGCUGAGGCUCGAAAGCGUGGGGAGCAAACAGGAUUAGAUACCCUGGUAGU
Molecule: ribosomal RNA, 425 nt
Filed under: uncultured Oscillospiraceae bacterium
Lineage: Bacteria; Bacillati; Bacillota; Clostridia; Eubacteriales; Oscillospiraceae
Description: bacterial SSU rRNA
Rfam family: Bacterial small subunit ribosomal RNA
Source: RNAcentral